CCGACUCCAGCACACCUGGCAUAUUAGACCACCUGACUUUCAACAUGCAAAGAAUAAUCCACUCCAAAAUGUCAGCGUUGUCCAGGAUGAGGCAGUCUGAUCAACACAAAUGCAGUGAACAAGAGCAACUUUAAGAAAAUUGGAAUGUAAGGACCCUGGAAAUGUGGAGAAAAAAUUAUAUUUUCUAUGUAAAGAAUUUAUAAGUUUAGGUGUUUAAUGAAUGAUAGUGAUAAAGUAAUAUCACUAAUGAUGUUGGUGAUGAUGAUGAUGAUGAUGACAGUUGUAUAUACAGGAAGAAAGUAUGAGAGUGAAGAAGAGUGGCUAUGAGUUGACAAAAGGCUUCUAUACUCACAGACACUGGGUAGGUCUCAUUUCAACUGGCAGAUAUGACUUGGCUGUCAAGUCCUAUUACUCUUAGAAAACUCUAUGUCCACUGUCAGUCUAACUCAAAUGUUUGUCUCAUACGAUAUCCAGAGUUCCAAAUUCUUCUUUUCCUCAGGUCGCUGAGAAAUAAGAUCACCAUGGCUGGUGAAAUUUUUAAUGGCAAUCUUGAUUGGUAUUGUGAGAAAAAUUAGUGACAUUUAUUAUUAAAAAUUAGUCUAUCAAUGUAUGAUUGAUGAGGUAGACAGAAAUAUCCUACAUUUAUAUUGUGCUCUCCGGUUUUCAAAUAUUAUGUAUAAGUAUUAUUUCACUUGGACCUCACCCUAUGCUGAAUUAUGCAUAGAAGUUAUUUUCCAAAUUAUUUUCAUUUAAUGAGAAACUCAUCUGGUUGUUGAUUUGUCUUUUACUAUUUUACAAAAUAUUGGACUUGCAGCUAAAAUCUGGAAUAUAAGAUCCUUGACUAGGUAGGUUUCUUUGUAACUAUCCUAAAUAUCUUUUUAAUGAUGCAAUAAUAACAGUCUGUAUUUUAUUUGAGAGUGUUUAAAGGUUUUAAAAAAAUAUAGUUAACUUCUGCCUAAUUUAAUUUUAAUAAAGUUUUUUAAAAUAAAUUGAGGAAUAGCAUAUAUACAAAAAUGACAGAAAGCCUAAGUGAACAAAUAAGAUUUUUACAAAAUUAAACACAGUGUAACCUUUGCUAAUCAAGAAACAAAUUACCAGUCCCAACAAAUCUCUGCUUUGCUCCCUUCUAAUCACUCUCUUCAAGGCUUAUUUUAAAGGACGUAAAAUUUACAUUCAAUAAAAUUUAUUUUCUAAUUUUUCAAUCCAUGAGGUUCAGUAAUUUUAUAUACCAGUGUAGUAGUGUUUACCAUUGCCCAAACAAGACAUAGAACAUUUCCAUCAAACCAAAAAUUUCUUCAGGUACCUUUCCAAUCAAUACCCCUCCCAUUUACAUAACCACUUUUUAACUUAUAUAAUCAUAGAUUUUAUUCUUGGUCUUUCACUUUAUGUGAACGGAAUAACACUAUAUGUUUUGUACGUAUGUAUGUAUUUGUGCAUGCUCAACAUAGUAUUUUUGUUUCACUCAUUUUGUUGCAACAGUAAGUAGUUUGUUCCAUUUCUAUUGAUGAAAUCAAUUGUAUGAAUGUACUACAAUUUGUUUAGUCUCGGAUGGACACAUGGAUUAUGUUCAGUUUUAGGUUUUUAUAAAAAAAGAUUGUUAUGAACAUUCUUUUACAUAAGUUUUAGUGAACAUAUACAUUCAUAUAUCAUGGACAAAUGUCUCGAAGUGUAACUGUUGUGGGUAGAGGCAUCCCAAGGCUGCCGGGUAUUCUUAACAGUAAUAAUAUGUCUAAAGGAAAAUCAAUACAGAAGUAGAUGUAAUUAUUCUGUUUUGUACCAUAAGCAAAGCCGUAAUUUAAGCAAUGUAGUAAGGAAGUUUUUUUUGUUGUUUUGUUUUCUAACAGUGAUUCUUUUUUCAGAUACUGAGAAUUUUCAAAAACAUGCAGUUAACAAUAACAAGAUUACAGAUUCUCAUUAUUUGUCUUAAAUUAAAAUACAGAUGAAAAAUUAGCGCUUCUUAACUCCUUUGGAUGAAAAAUAAGUUAUUAAUUUUUAUGGGUACAUAGUAGGUCUAAAUAUGUAUGGGGUACAUGAGAUAUUUUGAUACAGGCCCACAAUGUGUAAUAAGCACAUCAGAGUAAAUGGGGUAUUGGAUACCUUAUGCAUUUAUCAUUUCUUCCUGUUACAUACAUUCCAAUUGUACUCUUUCAGCUAUUUUUAAAUGUACAAUAAGCUAUUGUUUACUCUAGUCACACUGUUGUGCUAUCUAAUGCUAGAUCUUAUUCAUUCUAACCAUAUUUUUGUGCUCAUUAACCAUCCCACUUCUCCAACUCCCAAAUAGCCUUCCCCGCCUCUGGUAACCAUCAUUCUACAUCUAUUUCCAUGAGUUUAAUUGUUUAAAUUUUUAGCUCUCACAAAUGAGCAAGAAAACACAAAGUUUGUCUUUCUGUGCCUGCCUUUUUCCAAUUGCCGUAGUAUCCUCUAGUUCCAUCCAUGUUGUUGCAAAUAACAGGAUCUCAUUCUUUUUAUGGCUGAACUGAAUAGUACUCCAUUGUGUAUAUGUAUCUCAUUUUUAAAUCCAUUAAUCUGUUAAUGGACAUUUAGAUUAAUUACAAAUCUUGUCUAUUGUGAAUAGUGCUGCAAUAAACAUAGAUGUG
RNAcentral lists this long non-coding RNA (2597 nucleotides) under Homo sapiens (human). RNAcentral describes it as "HSALNT0071906". Lineage: Eukaryota; Metazoa; Chordata; Mammalia; Primates; Hominidae. The record is from RNAcentral.